UUGCAGCCAAUUAAGCUGACCAGUGCCCUUUUCCCCAUGGGGGCCUGGUGUGCAAUGGCUGCAAACAGCAGCCCCGGUAGUGUAUGCACCCUGUUGCCUGCAUAGGUUGCCCUAAGGGACCUUGGAGACAGCC
This is a small nucleolar RNA of 133 nucleotides. Its record names the gene SNORA70. It matches the Rfam family "Small nucleolar RNA SNORA70". Rfam says of the family: snoRNA U70 seems to be exclusive to mammals and is a member of the H/ACA class of snoRNA which contain H (ANANNA) and ACA box motifs. The record is from Ensembl.